This 384-nucleotide ribosomal RNA is filed under the name Lithobates palustris (pickerel frog). Its description in RNAcentral is "Rana palustris (pickerel frog) partial 12S ribosomal RNA". It matches the Rfam family "Bacterial small subunit ribosomal RNA", at positions 795 to 1386 of the family's 1533-position model. The record is from RNAcentral. Lineage: Eukaryota; Metazoa; Chordata; Amphibia; Anura; Ranidae.
CCUAGCCGUAAACAAUUAAUUUACACCUAUCAGCGCCAGGGAAUUACGAGCAAUGCUUAAAACCCAAAGGAUUUGACGGUGUCCCACCCAGCUAGAGGAGCCUGUUCUAUAAUCGAUGAUCCCCGCUACACCCGACCAUUUUUCGCUCAUCAGUCUGUAUACCUCCGUCGAAAGCUUACCAUGUGAACGUUCUUCAGUAGGCUCAAUGAUCCAACACCCCAUCAACACGUCAGGUCAAGGUGCAGCUUAAGAAAUGGGAAGUAAUUGGCUACAAUUUCUAAUCUAGAACAAACGAAAGGCUAUGUGAAAUCAUAACCACGAAGGUGGAUUUAGUAGUAAAAAGAAAAUAGAGUGUUCUUUUUAACCCGGCUCUGGGACGCGUAC